AACAGGAGAAGCUUGCUUCUCGCUGACGAGCGGCGGACGGGUGAGUAAUACUUAGGAAUCUACCUAGUAGUGGGGGAUAGCUCGGGGAAACUCGAAUUAAUACCGCAUACGACCUACGGGAGAAAGGGGGCAACUUGUUGCUCUCGCUAUUAGAUGAGCCUAAGUCGGAUUAGCUAGAUGGUGGGGUAAAGGCCUACCAUGGCGACGAUCUGUAGCUGGUCUGAGAGGAUGAUCAGCCACACCGGGACUGAGACACGGCCCGGACUCCUACGGGAGGCAGCAGUGGGGAAUAUUGGACAAUGGGGGCAACCCUGAUCCAGCCAUGCCGCGUGUGUGAAGAAGGCCUUUUGGUUGUAAAGCACUUUAAGCAGUGAAGAAGACUCCAUGGUUAAUACCCAUGGACGAUGACAUUAGCUGCAGAAUAAGCACCGGCUAACUCUGUGCCAGCAGCCGCGGUAAUACAGAGGGUGCAAGCGUUAAUCGGAAUUACUGGGCGUAAAGCGAGCGUAGGUGGCUUGAUAAGUCAGAUGUGAAAGCCCCGGGCUUAACCUGGGAACGGCAUCUGAUACUGUUAGGCUAGAGUAGGUGAGAGGAAGGUAGAAUUCCAGGUGUAGCGGUGAAAUGCGUAGAGAUCUGGAGGAAUACCGAUGGCGAAGGCAGCCUUCUGGCAUCAUACUGACACUGAGGUUCGAAAGCGUGGGUAGCAAACAGGAUU
RNAcentral lists this ribosomal RNA (715 nucleotides) under gamma proteobacterium PM6. Its description in RNAcentral is "bacterial SSU rRNA". It matches the Rfam family "Bacterial small subunit ribosomal RNA", at positions 70 to 779 of the family's 1533-position model. Lineage: Bacteria; Pseudomonadati; Pseudomonadota; Gammaproteobacteria. The record is from RNAcentral.